RNAcentral lists this long non-coding RNA (2544 nucleotides) under Olea europaea (common olive). RNAcentral describes it as "long non-coding RNA (OEUR_LNC005549)". The record is from RNAcentral. Lineage: Eukaryota; Viridiplantae; Streptophyta; Magnoliopsida; Lamiales; Oleaceae.
UGGGCAAAGUUUCACACAAGAUUCCAUUGGCAACUGUUGGAGUAAACUUGUCCACUUCUGCAAUUGCCAAUUGCAACCAGAAACUGCCACGUCCUGAUAUUACUGUGACAAAAACUGAGCGGUGCCGGGGUGGUGAUUCUCAUAGUGUAAAUAUUGUCAUUGAUGAUGGUGGUGACCUUGAGCCAAUAUCAGGAGACUCUGGUCAGAAAUCGGGUUUGAAGAUUGAUAUAAUUACAAUAAGAGAGAGAAUAAAGAGGAGGAAACUCGAAAGGAUAACAAGUAAGAAGCCUACAGAAACCAUGGACGAGGAGAUAGUAGAUGGUGAGGCUUGGAUAGAGAGAGAGCUGGAAAGGAUAUCGAGUUAGUUUCUACUCAUUCAGAGGAGCGAAGAGGGUUGAAUAAUCGGAAUAAAGGAAGUCGGCUACUUGGUUUAGCUAGAAAUGCAGCUUCAGAAAGAUUCAUUGGACAAUUCCCAUUCAUUCUAUAUUUUCGCGCGUGUAGCGAACUGCAUUAUGCUUCUUGAUCCAUAUAUUGGUGUACAAUAUAGUGUCAAGCCAAAGGUCUUGUACCCUUAUAAAGCCACUAGUUGCAGCUCUGAAGAAGUUGAAAAUUUCAGAUAAGGAGGUGGUGAAAGUAGCGUGGAAUUUUGUGAAUGAUUGGUAGUUGUUUUUUUCUUUCACUCUUGAUAUUUAUAGCUUAUCAUCACAUAUCAUGAUUUGUCACGAUUCAUGUGGCAUUAUAAUGUCAUUAUCAUUUUCCAAAAAAGAUAACUGAAACUUUUUGUGUUUUUCUCUUCUGAUUUUGGCUGUAAAUCUUUUUCUGUACGGAACAUUUAGGGUCCGCACGACGCUUUGCUUGCAGUACAAACCACAUUAUAUAGCCGCAGGUUCUCUGUACCUUGCUGUAAAAUUUCAGAAGAUGAAAAUGCCUUCAGAGAAUGGGAAUAUGUGGUGGAUGCAAUUUGAUAUUUCACCCAAAAAAUUGGAAGGUUAGUCAUUUAUUUGCCAAGAUAUCCUUUUCCCCUCGAUUUUACAUCUUGAAUCCUGAAAACAAUUUCAUUUUUUAGAUUCAUUUUAUUGGUUGCAACAUUAAUUACAUGGUCAGACUGCAAUGUAACUCUCAUCAUUCUCGCUUAGUUUAGACUCGUUUUUGGUUAACUCUACUGCGGAUGGUCAAUACAGAAGGAUGGGCUACAUGCUGAAUAUUCUUUGCAAACAAUAUUUUGUUCUCAUGGCUCUCGUUUAUCUAUAAUUCUGAUUCCCAUUCGUGAAGCAGCGUGAUCCCAUUAGAACCCGUCAGGCUAAGAGGUAUACCCAUUAACAUAAGUUGAUGUGGUUUCAAAAGAUAAGAUUUCAUUGCAUUGGGUCCAAAAAGGAUUCAUGUAGCCAGUCUAAGUUUAUUUGGGAUCCCUUCUUGUUGUAUAAGUCUGUAAUAACUCCUAUGGUGCCACCACCCACUUCACCCCCCAAUGCCACUCUUGAACUCCAACUCCAACUUGUUAUCUUGCUUUCAUUGUUGUAGCAUUGGUGGUUGGUACAAGAACAUUUAUCUUCAUUAUGUUCCUAACCUGCUUCUGUUUCUUGAUUGUGAUUCAACAGUGAUAUGCUGAUUGAAGCAUUUUUUAGGAAUUUUGUAUUAUUUCAUGUAUUAAUUUUUUUUCUCUUUCUUAUGUGGUCGUGCUGUUGACGUCUGCUCUUUUAAAUAAUUUCAAUGGGGUUCAAUGAUUUUCCAUUUGUUGAAGCUCUCAUUUAUAGUUCUAGUCAUAAAUUUUGCAGAGGUCAUUCAGCAUAUGCUUGGAUUGCUAGGGAAGAAUAACAAACAAGCAUUACAAUCCUCAUUUAGUGGGAAAUCAAAACAAAAGCCUAAAGAAGAAUCUAAUAGCGCAGAAUCAUGCAUUUCAAGCUACUCUAUCAUCAGGCAAGAUUCAAGCAAUAUAUCAUUGGCAAAUGCUGGAGCACUUCUGAAAUCUGCAACUGCCGUAGGCAAUCAGAAACAGCUGUGUGGUGAUGCUCUUGAUCCCAUAAGAAAUACCGAGCACCAUCAGAUCAGUGAGCCUGGUAGUGCAAAUAGUGUUGUUGAGGACUGCGACAAUGAGCUGAUAACAAGAGACUCUGGCCAGAAAUCUUCUUGUGCAAUUUCGUCAGUUGAAGAGAGUUAUCAGAAGAUUGAUAUAAAUAUGGCUCCAGGUAGCGCAGAAUCAUGCAUAUCAGGCGGUUCAGUGGGCAAAGUUUCACACAAGAUUCCAUUGGCAACUGUUGGAGUAAACUUGUCCACUUCUGCAAUUGCCAAUUGCAACCAGAAACUGCCACGUCCUGAUAUUACUGUGACAAAAACUGAGCGGUGCCGGGGUGGUGAUUCUCAUAGUGUAAAUAUUGUCAUUGAUGAUGGUGGUGACCUUGAGCCAAUAUCAGGAGACUCUGGUCAGAAAUCGGGUUUGAAGAUUGAUAUAAUUACAAUAAGAGAGAGAAUAAAGAGGAGGAAACUCGAAAGGAUAACAAGUAAGAAGCCCACAGAAACCAUGGACGAGGAGAUAGUAGAUGGUGA